RNAcentral lists this ribosomal RNA (305 nucleotides) under uncultured bacterium. RNAcentral's name for it is "bacterial SSU rRNA". It matches the Rfam family "Bacterial small subunit ribosomal RNA", at positions 334 to 636 of the family's 1533-position model. The record is from RNAcentral.
UUGGCCUACGGGACGCAGCAGUGAGGAAUAUUGGUCAAUGGGCGGAAGCCUGAACCAGCCAAGUCGCGUGAGGGAAUAAGGCCCUACGGGUCGUAAACCUCUUUUGCCGGGGAGCAAGGGCGGGGACGUGUCCCGGCCCGGAGAGUACCCGGAGAAAAAGCAUCGGCUAACUCCGUGCCAGCAGCCGCGGUAAUACGGAGGAUGCGAGCGUUAUCCGGAUUUAUUGGGUUUAAAGGGUGCGCAGGCGGCACGGCAAGCCGGCGGUCAAAUCGCGGGGCUCAACCCCGCCCAGCCGUCGGAACUGC